Dioscorea cayenensis subsp. rotundata (Guinea yam) is the source of this 181-nucleotide long non-coding RNA. RefSeq lists it as uncharacterized. The record is from RefSeq and is a predicted model, not a curated record. NCBI's taxonomy places the organism in Eukaryota, Viridiplantae, Streptophyta, Magnoliopsida, Dioscoreales, Dioscoreaceae. The transcript is spliced from 3 exons.
UAAAAAGGGUGUGAAGAAUAAAUGCAGCAUGUGUGGUGCAACAGGACAUGAUAAGAGAUUUCAUGGGCAGGACAAUACAAACAUGUCAGCAAGAACAUCACUGGCACAAGGUUUUGUGGCUGAGAACCACCAUUACCAGAAUUUGAUUUAAACACACGGCAUGUCAGCAAUGACCUAAAUG